AACGAACGCUGGCGGCAUGCCUAACACAUGCAAGUCGAACGAGACCUUCGGGUCUAGUGGCGCACGGGUGCGUAACGCGUGGGAACCUGCCCUUAGGCUCGGAAUAACUCCCCGAAAGGGGUGCUAAUACCGGAUAAUGUCUUCGGACCAAAGAUUUAUCGCCUUUGGAUGGGCCCGCGUUGGAUUAGCUAGUUGGUAGGGUAAAAGCCUACCAAGGCGACGAUCCAUAGCUGGUCUGAGAGGAUGAUCAGCCACACUGGGACUGAGACACGGCCCAGACUCCUACGGGAGGCAGCAGUGGGGAAUAUUGGACAAUGGGCGAAAGCCUGAUCCAGCAAUGCCGCGUGAGUGAUGAAGGCCUUAGGGUUGUAAAGCUCUUUUACCCGGGAUGAUAAGGACAGUACCGGGAGAAUAAGCUCCGGCUAACUCCGU
RNAcentral lists this ribosomal RNA (432 nucleotides) under uncultured bacterium. RNAcentral describes it as "partial 16S ribosomal RNA". It matches the Rfam family "Bacterial small subunit ribosomal RNA", at positions 29 to 506 of the family's 1533-position model. The record is from RNAcentral.